CACUUAAUUACGAACACCUGACCUGCAGUGCAGCAGAAUUCAGAGGUAAGCGUGUUUUUAGAUGCUUUAACGUUUUAUUUACCCCCCGAUUUUGUCAGUGUAUCUUAAACGUGACUUUUGAGGUGUAGUGUUUCGAAUUUUGAAGCAUUUAAAACUUUCCAGUUUGUUUUUAGUCUUGUUUGCGCUCCAGUGACGCGCAGCUAACCUCGAGGUAAUGUAACUUACUCCAGAGACGCACUAACUUGCACAGCAUUGAAUGGAAAAGGCUUUGUCCAUGUCCAGUUGAGGGGCAUCAAGAACACGCAGAUAGCCUAAACCUGUGUCAGCCUGGACAGACUGCAGUUCUGCUACUCCACACCAAGGCUUUUGUAUGGAUGUCUUGACUGCUACUGUGUUCUCUAAAGGUUUUCUGGAAGCUCCAUUUGAGGGCAUCAAGGACAUACUGAUGGCCUAAACCAGUGUCAGCCUAGACAGACAGACAUCUAUUGCAGUUCUGCUACACAAGACCAAACUCUCUGCUUUUGUAUGGAUGUCUGACUAGUACCGUGUUCUCUAAAGGUGUAACUGGAGCAAAACAACAGCACCCGUUACAGUGAAAUUUGCAUUCAUAAAAGAUAGUGAUAUAUCAGGUAUAGUAACAGGUCCAGUACAUUUGUCAUAAAGGUUAAAUCACAGUAAGUACUGUAAAAAUAACUUGUUUGCCUUUGCCACAACAGGUCAUGGUGUGUGCAUACUGCUCGUAGUAAACACACACGCUGAUCUGAUGCGGGAGAGAUAUAUGCAAACACAUUUGUAUU
Danio rerio (zebrafish) is the source of this 797-nucleotide non-coding RNA. NCBI's taxonomy places the organism in Eukaryota, Metazoa, Chordata, Actinopteri, Cypriniformes, Danionidae. The record is from Ensembl.